Molecule: long non-coding RNA, 821 nt
Organism: Onychomys torridus (southern grasshopper mouse)
Lineage: Eukaryota; Metazoa; Chordata; Mammalia; Rodentia; Cricetidae
Exons: 4
Source: RefSeq, a predicted model, not a curated record
UUCGCCCUUCUCUCCUCCCUCAAUCUGGAAAGUUUUCUCAGCAGAGGCCAAGCACAUUCCUGAGUUCUGGCUCAGGAAAGGACUUUCCCAACCUUCCAACAUUCCCGGCCCUCGCUCACCCUGCUGACCUACCAAGAGCUCUGCUUGCUCCACCCCGAGCAGCUGCAUUCCAGCUGUGGAGUUCUUAGGAAACUGCAAGAGGCCUAGGGCUGCAAGGACUCAGCGGUGCAAAUUUUGGAAUUCAGAGUCUGAAAGGCUGAGGCAGGAACCUCCAGAGGAAAACCUGGUCUCAAAAACAGCAAGAUGGUAGGAGUGAUCUUGUGAUAUGCUAGAGGACCUAGGAAAUGGAAGGACUGACGGCCACCCCGACGCACAGCAACAACGGAGAGCCGUGGGUAUGAUUUGGGAGUCCAUCCUCAUCUACAGCCCUACUAUCCCGAAUGAAUGUGUUCCAUCUUAGCAGCUCAGCAGGGCUGGGCCUGGUCGGGACAAGGAUGAGGGACUCCAUUCUCCAAAGAGAAGAGGAGCCUUCUGCAGUCUUCCAUCAACUCCCGGGCCUGACGGAACCUGUCCUCUAUCUUUGUUGCCCAAGCUGAUGUCAUGUUCUAAGGGACUGGAUUUGCUAAGCUGCAACAAGAUGCCUUCAGAAGGACCCAGAUUGCCUGCAGUGGGGGGCGGGGACCUGAGAAACAAGGCAAGGACCGGCAACUACUCUCCCUAAGAUGGAGGCAGCAUGAUGUAAGCGGCUGGCUAAAAUAUCUGGCAUGCUUGCAGUUUUAAGUUGCCAGCUAAAUAUUAUUAAAAAGAUAAAAUACACGCAA